This 1613-nucleotide long non-coding RNA is filed under the name Homo sapiens (human). RNAcentral describes it as "HSALNT0216760". The record is from RNAcentral. Lineage: Eukaryota; Metazoa; Chordata; Mammalia; Primates; Hominidae.
GGAUGGUGUGCCUUCUGGAGUCUCGUAUCACUCCGGCUCUGCUUCCAUCUUUGCGUCUCCUCUCUGACUCUGACCUUCCUGCUUCCUUCUCAGGACCUUUGUGAUUACAUGCCUCAUCCAGGCUCCACUCCUCCUCUCAAGAGCCUUAAUUUAAGCCCAUCUAUAAAGUGUCUUUGACCCUGUAAGGUCACAUAGCCACAGGUUCCAGGGGUUAGGAUGUGGACAUCUCUGUGGGGCUGUUCAACUGCCACACCAGCUCUUCAACCCAUAUGGGUCAUUUCUAUCCUCCAACCACCCUGGGAGUACUGUGCUCCCCACGCUCUUCACGUGGAAGCUGAGGCCCAGACGGGGGUGGGGAAUUGCAGAGAACGAGGAGAGCAGCUCCUGUCCCAGCUCUGCUUCUCACGCAGGCCUUUGGGGUGGGGCCUCAGUUUCCCCACCUGUACACAAGGACAACACUCCUCCUGCCCCCCUCCCAGCUCCCUGGGCCUCAAGGACGGCAAGGACGUGCAGUGGAUGAGGGGCAGCAGUGGGAACGGACACUGCCCUUAAGCUGGCAAGACAGGCCCAGGCCUGGUCUACAAACCCAGCCAGCUCCUGAUCACCAUCCUUAGGGUCACUGCGGUGCUGGGGUGGCCAAGCCAAGAUCCAGUCCUGGGCAGUCUGACCGAAGAGCUUCCAUACUGCAUGGCCCGGCUGCUCUGCCCCUCAGGAAGGAGCGGGGACAGGAGGCUGGGUCUAAGGUGCAGAGAAUGAUCUCAUCUUGUCAUUUGUAAAAUUAAAUUGUUCUGUAGCUUGGCUGAGAAGGACCAGGGAGGGAAGGGGUGAUUCAAGCAAGGACAGAGUCCAGGCAGGGCCCCAGGCCCCAGGGUGGGAGAAAUGCGAGCCUGAGGUAGAUAGGGGGUGGACAGUAGGUGGCAUGGUUCAGGGCUUCACCAGGGCCAGGCCCUCCCCUUACCCAGAGGAGGCAGUGAUGGGGGCCAGUCUGGGAAGGCCAGGGAGGAGAUGGAGUCAAGGUUGACUCCUUGAGUCUGGGGGUGAGGGCAGAUGGCAGAAGGCCUGGAAGCCCGGAGGGGAGCUGCCAGAGGCCAGCCUAGCUCCUUGGUCGUCCAGUGGCUGGAGAGGGGCUGUCCGUCAGCCCUGCUCUGCCCGGGUCUGGCUGGUGACAAAGGAGGGGAGCACUCCAUGCGGCCUGCGAGGGAGGGGUGGAGCCUCCCCGCAGCUCCUUCCCCCAGGAAUGGGGACGAGUUAGGGGCGGGCGAGGUUUUGGGAUUCAGGAGUCAGCAAGACGGACUUGGCUCUCGCCAGGGACAGGUGGGGUCCUGAGGGGCCGUCGCUCAGCUGCACCCACAGAGGGGUCGGCGGCGCGGCAAGUUAGGCUGCGGGGCGCCGGGAGAAGGGGCUGCGGGUGACGGGUGCGCUGGGACGGACCUGGGGAGCUCGUCGUGAGGAAGAAAGAACCACUCUAGGGCCAGGCCCAGUGGCUCAAGCCUGUAAUCCCAGCACUUUGGGAGGCCGAGGCGGGCGGAUCACGAGGUCAGGAAAUCGAGACCAUCCUGGCUAACACGGUGAAACCCAGUCUCUAUUAAAAUACAAAAAAAUCAGCCGGGCGU